ACUUAAGUAGUUUAGUUUAAAAUAUCGAUUUGUGGUGUCGGAGUUGUAGUUAAUUUAUUACCUUGGGUU
This 69-nucleotide transfer RNA is filed under the name Panesthia sp. Salganea. Its description in RNAcentral is "tRNA-His". Lineage: Eukaryota; Metazoa; Arthropoda; Insecta; Blattodea; Blaberidae. RNAcentral also lists the same sequence under 1 other name. The record is from RNAcentral.